CAGCAGCCGCGGUAACACGUAGGGUGCAAGCGUUAAUCGGAAUUACUGGGCGUAAAGCGUGCGCAGGCGGUUAUAUAAGUCAGAUGUGAAAUCCCCGGGCUCAACCUGGGAACUGCAUUUGAGACUGUAUGGCUAGAGUGUGUCAGAGGGGGGUAGAAUUCCACGUGUAGCAGUGAAAUGCGUAGAUAUGUGGAGGAAUACCGAUGGCGAAGGCAGCCCCCUGGGAUAACACUGACGCUCAUGCACGAAAGCGUGGGGAGCAAACAGGAUUAGAUACCCCGGUAGUCCCUGUCUCUUAUAC
This 301-nucleotide ribosomal RNA is filed under the name uncultured bacterium. RNAcentral's name for it is "partial 16S ribosomal RNA". It matches the Rfam family "Bacterial small subunit ribosomal RNA", at positions 509 to 807 of the family's 1533-position model. The record is from RNAcentral.